RNAcentral lists this small RNA (187 nucleotides) under Gopherus agassizii (Agassiz's desert tortoise). RNAcentral describes it as "TUC338 (ENSGAGG00000013427.1)". The record is from RNAcentral. Lineage: Eukaryota; Metazoa; Chordata; Testudines; Testudinidae.
GUGAAAGAGCCUUGGAGACUGAAGCCAUUUAUUCACAGAAUAGGUACAGCAUAGACAGCAAGCACAGAAGCUGCUAAGCUGUACCUCCACAUGGGCUAUGUCAGUGUGUCUGAACUCUGGUCUGGAAGGAGCACCUCCACAUCUGAGAUGGUACAAGUCUCUGUGGCCCAUUCAGCCAUUGACCUUU